GACGAACGCUGGCGGCGUGCUUAACACAUGCAAGUCGAACGGAAAGGCCCUGCUUUUGUGGGGUGCUCGAGUGGCGAACGGGUGAGUAACACGUGAGUAACCUGCCCUUGACUUUGGGAUAACUUCAGGAAACUGGGGCUAAUACCGGAUAGGAGCUCCUGCUGCAUGGUGGGGGUUGGAAAGUUUCGGCGGUUGGGGAUGGACUCGCGGCUUAUCAGCUUGUUGGUGGGGUAGUGGCUUACCAAGGCUUUGACGGGUAGCCGGCCUGAGAGGGUGACCAGCCACAUUGGGACUGAGAUACGGCCCAGACUCCUACGGGAGGCAGCAGUGGGGAAUAUUGCACAAUGGGCGGAAGCCUGAUGCAGCAACGCCGCGUGCGGCAUGACGGCCUUCGGGUUGUAAACCGCUUUCGCCUGUGACGAAGCGUGAGUGACGGUAAUGGGUAAAGAAGCACCGGCUAACUACGUG
This 468-nucleotide ribosomal RNA is filed under the name uncultured bacterium. RNAcentral's name for it is "partial 16S ribosomal RNA". It matches the Rfam family "Bacterial small subunit ribosomal RNA", at positions 28 to 507 of the family's 1533-position model. The record is from RNAcentral.